RNAcentral lists this ribosomal RNA (300 nucleotides) under uncultured Lactobacillus sp. RNAcentral describes it as "bacterial SSU rRNA". It matches the Rfam family "Bacterial small subunit ribosomal RNA", at positions 496 to 795 of the family's 1533-position model. The record is from RNAcentral. Lineage: Bacteria; Bacillati; Bacillota; Bacilli; Lactobacillales; Lactobacillaceae.
UCCAACCGCGUGCCAGGGGCCGCGGGAAUACUGAGGGUCCGGUCGUUGUACGGAAUUAUUGGGCGUAAAGGGCUCGGAGGCGGUGUGUCGCGGCGGGAGUGAAAACUUCUGGCUUAACUCGGAGCUUGCUUUCGAUACGGGCAGACUUGAGGCAUGCAGGGGAGAACGGAAUUCCUUGUGUAGCGGUGAAAUGCGCAGAGAUCAGGAGGAACACCGGUGGCGAAGGCGGUUCUCUGGGAAUGUUCUGACGCUGAGGAGCGAAAGUGUGGGGAGCGAACAGGAUUAGAUACCCUGGUAGUC